UACGAUGUCGUCGGUGAGGAAACCCGCUGAACUUAAGCAUAUCAAUAAGCGG
Molecule: ribosomal RNA, 52 nt
Filed under: Halimeda incrassata
Lineage: Eukaryota; Viridiplantae; Chlorophyta; Ulvophyceae; Bryopsidales; Halimedaceae
Description: partial 28S ribosomal RNA
Source: RNAcentral